Molecule: small nuclear RNA, 107 nt
Organism: Bison bison bison
Lineage: Eukaryota; Metazoa; Chordata; Mammalia; Artiodactyla; Bovidae
Source: Ensembl
GUGCUCACUUCAGCAGCACAUAUACUAAAAUUGGAAAGAUACAAAGAAGAUUGGCAUGACCCCUGUGCAAGGAUGACAUGCAAAUUCUUGAAGUGUUCCAUAUUUUU